AGUAAGGUAGUUAAAAAAUAAUGAAAAAUUGUAAAUUUUUAGUUACUUUUAUGUUCUUAUUA
RNAcentral lists this transfer RNA (62 nucleotides) under Macrostomum lignano. RNAcentral's name for it is "tRNA-Tyr". Lineage: Eukaryota; Metazoa; Platyhelminthes; Macrostomidae. The record is from RNAcentral.